Clupea harengus (Atlantic herring) is the source of this 435-nucleotide long non-coding RNA. Lineage: Eukaryota; Metazoa; Chordata; Actinopteri; Clupeiformes; Clupeidae. The record is from Ensembl.
GAGAAGUCAAAAUGCAAAUCACCUAGCACUCGUUUUCUGUAGACAAAAGGUGCAGAAGAACAAGCGUAUCGCUGCGUAUCGCUCUUUACUACAGCAUCGACCAUACCACUCCUCAGCUACGACUAGAUGAUGAGGGAGCACCUCCUACCUCUUAUCUAAGCACGAGUCAGCGGGUUGACAUCAGUGAGAAUCGUACUUGAGCGUGGGCAAAGAAGACAGAUCGGCUGCGUGACCGAACCCUUCCCCAUAUGGUAAUGUGAAUGGAGGCCUGCGAGCGGAAGCGCUGGAUGUAGGCUACCCUCUCUGCCUGGAAUUGGAGGUGUAAGCAUGUAAACAUCUCCCGUGUUAGACCACGCCAAUCCCACGGUUCAAUCAAACGAUUGUAACAACUGAACAGGAAAGCCACAGAUUGAACCAAGUCAUGGAGAAUCAAAC